Molecule: unclassified non-coding RNA, 348 nt
Filed under: Hevea brasiliensis (rubber tree)
Lineage: Eukaryota; Viridiplantae; Streptophyta; Magnoliopsida; Malpighiales; Euphorbiaceae
Source: RNAcentral
GUCUAUCUUCUUGAGGUCAACACCUAAUGUAAAAUGUGAAAAACAAAUAUUACAUUCUAAUUCAGAAGCUUGCGUGGUCGUAGUAUGCAUCAUAAGUCAAUAAUUCAGUAAUAAAUCAAAUAACUGCACUUUUCUUAUCAAGUACAACAUGCAACCAGGCAUUGGAUAAAAUAGAAAAUCAUGCAAUUUUUAGCACAAAUAAGAAUAAGAAAAAUUUGUCAUCUAUCAGCAAGGACAAAAAGUUGAAAUAAUUAGUAAUGAGAAAUAAAUAACAUCAACAAAGCAUGAAAAUUAUAGCAGUAUCAUGCAUCAUGCAUGGCCCUCUGGUGUCAGUAAACUUUAAAAAGU